RNAcentral lists this ribosomal RNA (801 nucleotides) under uncultured bacterium. RNAcentral describes it as "bacterial SSU rRNA". It matches the Rfam family "Bacterial small subunit ribosomal RNA", at positions 65 to 862 of the family's 1533-position model. The record is from RNAcentral.
AACGGCAGCACGGACUUCGGUCUGGUGGCGAGUGGCGAACGGGUGAGUAAUAUAUCGGAACAUACCCUAGAGUGGGGGAUAACGUAGCGAAAGUUACGCUAAUACCGCAUACGAACUAAGGUUGAAAGUGGGGGUUCGCAAGACCUCAUGCUCAUGGAGUGGCCGAUAUCUGAUUAGCUAGUUGGUGAGGUAAAGGCUCACCAAGGCGACGAUCAGUAGCUGGUCUGAGAGGACGACCAGCCACACUGGAACUGAGACACGGUCCAGACUCCUACGGGAGGCAGCAGUGGGGAAUUUUGGACAAUGGGGGCAACCCUGAUCCAGCAAUGCCGCGUGAGUGAAGAAGGCCUUCGGGUUGUAAAGCUCUUUUGUCAGGGAAGAAACGGUGAUCUCUAAUAUAGAUUGCUAAUGACGGUACCUGAAGAAUAAGCACCGGCUAACUACGUGCCAGCAGCCGCGGUAAUACGUAGGGUGCAAGCGUUAAUCGGAAUUACUGGGCGUAAAGCGUGCGCAGGCGGUUAUAUAAGUCAGAUGUGAAAUCCCCGGGCUCAACCUGGGAACUGCAUUUGAGACUGUAUGGCUAGAGUGUGUCAGAGGGGGGUAGAAUUCCACGUGUAGCAGUGAAAUGCGUAGAUAUGUGGAGGAAUACCGAUGGCGAAGGCAGCCCCCUGGGAUAACACUGACGCUCAUGCACGAAAGCGUGGGGAGCAAACAGGAUUAGAUACCCUGGUAGUCCACGCCCUAAACGAUGUCUACUAGUUGUUGGGUCUUAAUUGACUUAGUAACGCAGCUAACGCGUGA